UAUGCCUCAAUAUUUGAACAAAGCUGAGAGAGAUGCUAAUGCUAACAACAUUUUUCUUUAUGUAUAUAGCAAAGAAAUGUGGUCAUUCUUUGUUUCAAAGGCAUCUUAUAUCCUAGAACAAGUAUUACAAUUCUUGCAAUGUUUUUGCAGAAAAAUCUGGGUUGAUACAUCCUGAAGCCACAUCAUUUUCAUCAUAAGAAUGUAAAAAAUUUCUCUCGAUUUUCAAUCAUCCACCUCUAAGGGUAGUGAAAACCUUGGAGUUCAGAAAAGCUAAAAUGCACAUGCAUGAAGACUAAUCAAGUCUGAAAUCCGAUUCACACACACAGUGAAACUAAAGAAGCAGCUCCCAACUGAUCAUCAAUUGUUACUUGUGGCAUCAUAAAGGAUAAGAAGCAAAAUGGCUGCGCUCAAAUCAGAAUUUAUGUUAUUAGCACUUUCCUUUGAGUCGCAGAGAAAAUGCAUGUAAGCUUUUAAGAACUUCCUUUAUUCCCUCCUUUGCUUGUGGAUCAAUCAAGUUGCCAUCGCUAUCAAAUUUUGCAGGAGGUGCAAAUGCGUUCAAGAAAAACUCAGGUUUGUUGAUGAAAUGAAGAUCAAGAUAAACUCCAAUUUGGCGAAGAUGGUACUGUGAUCGCCCUCCACCAAAACUUCCUCCAGCACUUACAAUGGCAGCAGCUUUAUCAGCCCAGCAAUUUGGUGGUCUGGAUGCCCAGUCAAUUGCAUUCUUCAAAGGUGCUACCAAAAUGGAGAAAAAAAAUGAAGAAUUCAAAAAUGGAAAACUAAUAAUGGACAAUCCUAUGCGUUAAGUGAGAUUCGACCCUAGAGUUCAGAGAUUCAAUAUGAGGUCUUUAAUCUGUCAAUCAAGGAUUUUAUUAGCUUAACCAGAUAUUAAAAAAUUUAAUUAAAAAAAAGAGCCAAUUUGCAACAGAAAUCAAGGCUUUCAUAUGUCAUAACCUUAUCUGCUCAACAAUUUGGCUGGAAUUAGGCCAGAUGAUGUAACAAAUAACGCAGAUUGGAGAAUUUAAGUAAUGCUGAAACAGCCAACAUUUUGCAAUUGAGAAUUGGCAACCCAUCAAAUCAGAAUGGUGUAUAUUCCCAUUAAAAACCAUCAGCAGCAAAUUGAUGCUCACCCACUUGAAACUUCUAACCCACAAUCUCUCUCUCUCCAAAAACAAGACACCUGGCUUUCAUCCUCCACAUUUGAUUUGAUUACUCUUCUUUUCAGUAAUUGAAGUAGCAAUUUGGCUAGCAAUAACAUCAUUAACCUUCCCAACAAUUAUAAAGAGAGUUAAAACAACAGUAAGACACAUAUAUAUACAAAAUAACUAUAUUGCACUGUACAAAUUGUAAAAAUCUGAGUCAUGAUUUUCUUCAAAAUAUUUAUUUAAAACCAUGAAAUUAGAAAGAAUUUUGAAGAAAUGGGCUUGGAUCUUCCUGCCUUGAACUCUAAGCAGCAAUACAUAUAUAUGUGGAUUUAAAUUUCCUCCCCAAGCUAUUUAAGAAAAGAAAAUAUCCUACAUUUAAAAUUAUAUGGGAGAAAAAUGAGCCAUGAAAAUGGUAGAGCAGAGGGAGGGGUAUAGUACCAGUUACAGAGUAAUUAUACUCAGGGGAAGCGAAAAGGACGCUAUCGGCUUCAAGAAUCUUUUCGCGGAAAGCUUCAACGACGGGUGGGAAAGAACCAUCGGCUCCUUCAAGAUCGGUAUUGAGCAUAGGCAAAGGUGAUAUGUCAAUGUAAUCGAUUUGAAGACCAUUCACUGACUCCUUGCUUAAUUCCAUUGCUGCACGAAUGAGGCCACGGUUAUAGGAUGCUUUGCGAAGAGAGCCAGAAAGAGCGACGACUUUGAUGACUGGGUUUGCUGCCAGAACUGCCUCCAUAUUUCAGGUUCUUUGUUGUACUGAUAUGGUUUAUAUGGCAGAGGGAGAAAAAGCAGUGAAUUAAAAUGAUAAGGUGCUGUGCUUUUGAUGGAACAAAAAGUACAGACCACUCAGAAGUUCAGAACGUUAAUCGGAAUGUGCUGUAAUUUUU
RNAcentral lists this unclassified non-coding RNA (2023 nucleotides) under Hevea brasiliensis (rubber tree). The record is from RNAcentral. Lineage: Eukaryota; Viridiplantae; Streptophyta; Magnoliopsida; Malpighiales; Euphorbiaceae.